RNAcentral lists this long non-coding RNA (336 nucleotides) under Mytilus galloprovincialis (Mediterranean mussel). Lineage: Eukaryota; Metazoa; Mollusca; Bivalvia; Mytilida; Mytilidae. The record is from RNAcentral.
UGUAUAGAAGGGGAACUGAAUGAAAGCGGUGAUAAUUAAAUGUAAGUGAACAUAAUGAAAGUGUGUCACUACAGAUGAAAGUAAACAAAAUUAGCUCACCUAUCCAUUAGCACUUUAGACAAAGAAUAGAGGUGAUGAUCCUUUGAAACUUCAGCGGCACAAAUAACAUAUAUCACUCGUAAUAUCUCACCUUAUCAGGUGUCUAUAGAUGCAGAAAUUAUUAAUUGUAAAACAUGUGCACAUGUGGGUAAAUACUCCCCCUUUAAAGUGAUUUAAAACGAGUAAUUUGGAGGCCGUAACAAGCCGGUGCUCUCCGAUAGGCUAUCCAAGCCGAAU